AUACGGAGGAUGCGAGCGUUAUCCGGAUUUAUUGGGUUUAAAGGGUGCGCAGGCGGCCAUUUAAGUCAGCGGUUAAAUCGUGGGGCUCAACCCCAUUCUGCCGUUGAUACUGGGUGGCUUGAUUGCGGUCGAGGUUGGCGGAAUUCGUUGUGUAGCGGUGGAAUGCAUAGAUAUGACGAAGAACACCGAUUGCGUAGGCAGCUGACCAGACCGCAAAUGACGCUCAUGCACGAAAGUGCGGGGAUCGAACAGGAUUAGAUACCCUGGUAGUCCGCACAGUAAACGAUGAAUACUUGUUUUCGGCGAUAUAAUGUCGGAGGCAAAGCGAAAGCGAUAAGUAUUCCACCUGGGGAGUACGCCGGCAACGGUGAAACUCAAAUGAAUUGACGGGG
Molecule: ribosomal RNA, 392 nt
Filed under: uncultured bacterium
Lineage: Bacteria
Description: partial 16S ribosomal RNA
Rfam family: Bacterial small subunit ribosomal RNA
Source: RNAcentral